AAUAGAAUUGCUGGGUGAUAUGAUAAUCCUUUUUAACUUUGUGAGGACCUGCUAGACUGCUUUUCCAAGUGAUAGCAUCAAUUAUCAUUCCCACUAGCAAU
This 101-nucleotide microRNA precursor is filed under the name Marmota monax (woodchuck). Lineage: Eukaryota; Metazoa; Chordata; Mammalia; Rodentia; Sciuridae. The record is from RNAcentral.